RNAcentral lists this ribosomal RNA (253 nucleotides) under uncultured bacterium. RNAcentral describes it as "partial 16S ribosomal RNA". It matches the Rfam family "Bacterial small subunit ribosomal RNA", at positions 524 to 776 of the family's 1533-position model. The record is from RNAcentral.
UACGUAGGGGGCAAGCGUUGUCCGGAUUUAUUGGGCGUAAAGAGCGUGUAGGCGGCCUGGAAGGUCAGCUGUGAAAACUCGAGGCUCAACCUCGAGACGUCGGUUGAAACCACUUGGCUAGAGUCCGGAAGAGGAGAGUGGAAUUCCCGGUGUAGCGGUGAAAUGCGCAGAUAUCGGGAGGAACACCAAUUGCGAAGGCAGCUCGCUGGAACGUAACUGACGCUGAGACGCGAAAGCGUGGGGAGCAAACAGG